This 325-nucleotide ribosomal RNA is filed under the name Escherichia coli. RNAcentral's name for it is "partial 23S ribosomal RNA". It matches the Rfam family "Bacterial large subunit ribosomal RNA", at positions 1237 to 1564 of the family's 2925-position model. The record is from RNAcentral. Lineage: Bacteria; Pseudomonadati; Pseudomonadota; Gammaproteobacteria; Enterobacterales; Enterobacteriaceae.
CGUUCUGUAAGCCUGUGAAGGUGUGCUGUGAGGCAUGCUGGAGGUAUCAGAAGUGCGAAUGCUGACAUAAGUAACGAUAAAGCGGGUGAAAAGCCCGCUCGCCGGAAGACCAAGGGUUCCUGUCCAACGUUAAUCGGGGCAGGGUGAGUCGACCCCUAAGGCGAGGCCGAAAGGCGUAGUCGAUGGGAAACAGGUUAAUAUUCCUGUACUUGGUGUUACUGCGAAGGGGGGACGGAGAAGGCUAUGUUGGCCGGGCGACGGUUGUCCCGGUUUAAGCGUGUAGGCUGGUUUUCCAGGCAAAUCCGGAAAAUCAAGGCUGAGGCGU